CAGCAGUCGCCGCGGUAAUUCGUAGGUGGCGAGCGUUGUCCGGAAUUAUUGGGCGUAAAGGGAGCGCAGGCGGACAUAUAAGUCCAUCUUAAAAGUGCGGGGCUCAACCCCGUGAGGGGAUGGAAACUGUAUGCCUUGAGUGCAGGAGAGGGAAGCGGAAUUCCCAGUGUAGCGGUGAAAUGCGUAGAUAUUGGGAGGAACACCAGUGGCGAAGGCGGCUUUCUGGACUGUAACUGACGCUGAGGCUCGAAAGCCAGGGGAGCGAACGGGAUUAGAUACCCCCGUAGUCCCUGUCUCUUAUACA
This 304-nucleotide ribosomal RNA is filed under the name uncultured bacterium. Its description in RNAcentral is "partial 16S ribosomal RNA". It matches the Rfam family "Bacterial small subunit ribosomal RNA", at positions 509 to 809 of the family's 1533-position model. The record is from RNAcentral.